This 253-nucleotide ribosomal RNA is filed under the name uncultured bacterium. RNAcentral's name for it is "partial 16S ribosomal RNA". It matches the Rfam family "Bacterial small subunit ribosomal RNA", at positions 524 to 776 of the family's 1533-position model. The record is from RNAcentral.
UACAGAGGUCUCAAGCGUUGUUCGGAAUCACUGGGCGUAAAGGGCGUGUAGGCGGUCCGCUAAGUCUGAUGUGAAAGCCCGGGGCUCACCCCCGGAAGUGCAUUGGAAACUGACGGACUCGAGUCCCGGAGAGGAGGGUGGAAUUCCUGGUGUAGCGGUGAAAUGCGUAGAUAUCAGGAAGAACACCCGUGGCGAAGGCGGCUCUCUGGUACGUGACUGACGCUGAGACGCGAAAGCGUGGGGAGCGAACAGG